AUUGAACGCUGGCGGCAUGCCUUACACAUGCAAGUCGAACGGCAGCACGGGUGCUUGCACCUGGUGGCGAGUGGCGAACGGGUGAGUAAUACAUCGGAACGUACCCUAUCGUGGGGGAUAACGCAGCGAAAGCUGUGCUAAUACUGCAUACGCCCUGAGGGGGAAAGCGGGGGAUCGAAAGACCUCGCGCGAUUAGAGCGGCCGAUGCCUGAUUAGCUUGUUGGUGGGGUAAAAGCCCACCAAGGCGACGAUCAGUAGCUGGUCUGAGAGGACGAUCAGCCACACUGGGACUGAGACACGGCCCAGACUCCUACGGGAGGCAGCAGUGGGGAAUUUUGGACAAUGGGGGCAACCCUGAUCCAGCAAUGCCGCGUGAGUGAAGAAGGCCUUCGGGUUGUAAAGCUCUUUUGUCAGGGAAGAAACACCGGCUCUAACACAGUCCGGGAAUGACGGUACCUGAAGAAUAAGCACCGGCUAACUACGUGCCAGCAGCCGCAGUAA
This 501-nucleotide ribosomal RNA is filed under the name uncultured bacterium. RNAcentral describes it as "partial 16S ribosomal RNA". It matches the Rfam family "Bacterial small subunit ribosomal RNA", at positions 29 to 523 of the family's 1533-position model. The record is from RNAcentral.